UGCAUGCGCGCUACCAUGCAGUCGUACGCGGGGUUCUCCUUCGGGAGGACUGCCGAGUGGCGAACGGGUGCGUAACGCGUAGGUAACCUGCCCUCGAGUGGGGGAUAACCCCGGGAAACCGGGGCUAAUACCGCAUAUUGUCCCGGGACCGCAUGGCCCCGGGAUGAAAGCCCUCUGGGCGCUCGAGGAUGGGCCUGCGUCGGAUUAGCUAGUUGGUGGGGUAACGGCCCACCAAGGCGACGAUCCGUAGCUGGUCUGAGAGGACGACCAGCCACACUGGCACUGAGACACGGGCCAGACUCCUACGGGAGGCAGCAGUGGGGAAUCUUGGGCAAUGGGCGAAAGCCUGACCCAGCCACGCCGCGUGGAGGAUGAAGCCCUUCGGGGUGUAAACUCCUUUUCUGGGGGAAGAAAUCCCGGCUAUGGUCGGGACUGACGGUACCCCAGGAAUAAGCGCCGGCUAACUCCGUGCCAGCAGCCGCGGUAAUACGGAGGGCGCAAGCGUUGCCCGGAAUCACUGGGUGUAAAGGGUGCGUAGGCGGGGCUGUAAGUCAGAGGUGAAAGCCUCCGGCUCAACCGGAGAAUUGCCUCUGAUACUGCAGCUCUUGAGUCCCGGAGAGGCCGCUGGAAUUCCUGGUGUAGCGGUGAAAUGCGUAGAUAUCAGGAGGAACACCGGAGGCGAAGGCGGGCGGCUGGACGGGAACUGACGCUGAGGCACGAAAGCGUGGGGAGCAAACAGGAUUAGAUACCCUGGAAGUCCACGCC
RNAcentral lists this ribosomal RNA (765 nucleotides) under uncultured bacterium. Its description in RNAcentral is "bacterial SSU rRNA". It matches the Rfam family "Bacterial small subunit ribosomal RNA", at positions 41 to 801 of the family's 1533-position model. The record is from RNAcentral.